Molecule: ribosomal RNA, 253 nt
Filed under: uncultured bacterium
Lineage: Bacteria
Description: partial 16S ribosomal RNA
Rfam family: Bacterial small subunit ribosomal RNA
Source: RNAcentral
GACGAACCGUGCGAACGUUGUUCGGAAUCACUGGGCUUAAAGGGCGCGUAGGCGGUUUGGCACGUCCGGGGUGAAAGCCUCCCGCUCAACGGGAGAAGUGCCUGGGAUACGGCCAGACUCGAGGGGGGCAGGGGUCCGCGGAACACAGAGUGGAGCGGUGAAAUGCGUUGAGAUUCUGUGGAACUCCGGCGGCGAAGGCGGCGGACUGGACCCUCUCUGACGCUGAGGCGCGAAAGCCAGGGGAGCAAACGGG